Molecule: non-coding RNA, 74 nt
Organism: Oscillibacter valericigenes Sjm18-20
Lineage: Bacteria; Bacillati; Bacillota; Clostridia; Eubacteriales; Oscillospiraceae
Source: Rfam
UGCUUUGUAGCUAAGUUGGGUAUAGCAGCGGAUUCAUACUCCGCGUGUCGUGGGUUCAAAUCCCACCGGAACGG